Molecule: ribosomal RNA, 702 nt
Filed under: Enterobacter sp. V34
Lineage: Bacteria; Pseudomonadati; Pseudomonadota; Gammaproteobacteria; Enterobacterales; Enterobacteriaceae
Description: bacterial SSU rRNA
Rfam family: Bacterial small subunit ribosomal RNA
Source: RNAcentral
CAGGAUUAGAUACCCUGGUAGUCCACGCCGUAAACGAUGUCGACUUGGAGGUUGUGCCCUUGAGGCGUGGCUUCCGGAGCUAACGCGUUAAGUCGACCGCCUGGGGAGUACGGCCGCAAGGUUAAAACUCAAAUGAAUUGACGGGGGCCCGCACAAGCGGUGGAGCAUGUGGUUUAAUUCGAUGCAACGCGAAGAACCUUACCUACUCUUGACAUCCAGAGAACUUAGCAGAGAUGCUUUGGUGCCUUCGGGAACUCUGAGACAGGUGCUGCAUGGCUGUCGUCAGCUCGUGUUGUGAAAUGUUGGGUUAAGUCCCGCAACGAGCGCAACCCUUAUCCUUUGUUGCCAGCGGUUAGGCCGGGAACUCAAAGGAGACUGCCAGUGAUAAACUGGAGGAAGGUGGGGAUGACGUCAAGUCAUCAUGGCCCUUACGAGUAGGGCUACACACGUGCUACAAUGGCGCAUACAAAGAGAAGCGACCUCGCGAGAGCAAGCGGACCUCAUAAAGUGCGUCGUAGUCCGGAUUGGAGUCUGCAACUCGACUCCAUGAAGUCGGAAUCGCUAGUAAUCGUGGAUCAGAAUGCCACGGUGAAUACGUUCCCGGGCCUUGUACACACCGCCCGUCACACCAUGGGAGUGGGUUGCAAAAGAAGUAGGUAGCUUAACCUUCGGGAGGGCGCUUACCACUUUGUGAUUCAUGAC